AAGACUUGUCUAAGAUAAGCUGGCAGUCUACACCGCAUGGCCUGCGUUGCUGACAUUAAGUGAAGUUAAUGCAGAGUUCCUGUGCCUGACAGAUACUUGAGGAAGCAUCUUGGAGGUUGUCAAGGAGAAGGGAGGCGUUGCCAGAAGGAAGGACUGGAGUGGCGAAGUGAUCCAAAGGCAGACUGCACAUCUACGUAUAUGGUUUGCAAGGAACAUCCCGUGCCAGAGACUGUGAUACAAGGCAUGGAGCUGUACAGUGAACUCGGAGCAUCUCUUGUGCAUGUGUGAUGCUGUUUGGACUCGGUUACCGGUAUAUACCCUCAAUCUCAACUCU
Engraulis encrasicolus (European anchovy) is the source of this 334-nucleotide long non-coding RNA. RefSeq lists it as uncharacterized. Lineage: Eukaryota; Metazoa; Chordata; Actinopteri; Clupeiformes; Engraulidae. The transcript is spliced from 3 exons. The record is from RefSeq and is a predicted model, not a curated record.